GGAUGUAAGCGCUAUCUGGCAGUGACAUCUGUCACCCCACUGAUUGCUAGGGUUGAUUUGGCUGAUCUGGCUGGCUAGGCAGGUGUCCCUGUCGUCCUCCCUCACCACUCCAUGUGUGUCCCUCCCAAAGCUGUGUGCUCAGUUGAAGAGGACGGCCUUCCCCAAUAGAGACUGAACUGUCUUAGGUCGAGGGUAUAUGAGUUUAUCUCAGUGAAUAAACUCCUUAUUAUUGUAGUUUUGUAAUGAACUGAGACUGAAAAAUAUUAUACACUAU
RNAcentral lists this small RNA (274 nucleotides) under Erinaceus europaeus (western European hedgehog). RNAcentral describes it as "7SK RNA (ENSEEUG00000020401.1)". The stretch from base 1 to 203 matches the Rfam family "7SK RNA". Rfam says of the family: 7SK was discovered as an abundant small nuclear RNA in the mid-70s but a possible function has only recently been suggested. Two independent studies have found that 7SK RNA binds the CDK9/cyclin T complex (known as elongation factor P-TEFb). The record is from RNAcentral. Lineage: Eukaryota; Metazoa; Chordata; Mammalia; Eulipotyphla; Erinaceidae.